UUAAUUUAUAGGCCCUAUAGGAAGUUGGUUUCCACAAAUGAUAUACUGGGGAUAAGAAGAAGCUCCUCCCUCAGAUUCUAGUAAGUUUAUAAGGCUAGAAUUACUCAGCUUGCCUUAAUAGCACUAAACUUCAUUUACAUCUGCUACACUGAACUGUUUAGGGUCAUUUGCAAAACCAAAUUUGUAAUUGGCAUCUUCCUGUAAUCUGCCUGUGUAGCAUAGCUGCAGAGAAGGAAUUGGAGUCAUCUCCUUAAUUCUUGCUUCAGUAGAUCCAUACCAAUCAAAAGCAUCGCAUCCUUUCAAUCUUACUAGCAUAGUCAAGCUUGUUUCUUAGACUUGUGGAAUAGCUACACUUUCACAUGAAAAAGGUCAAUCUUUAAUUAUUUUAUGGAGCAUAAGUUUCAAAUGAACUAAAGCAACAUUAUCUACACAUUUGAGCUACCUCAGAUGUUGAACCAGCUGCCUGGCUACGUAGACAUUAUGAAUUCUUCCACACUAAAUCGUAGUUGCAAGCACAGAGUCUAGUUCUUUCUGAUAGCUGGUGAAUUUGUGACCUCCCUGGAAUAGCUGGAGCUGUAAACCCUUGAAUGGAUAAAUGAUGCAUAACGGUAGCUUCUUCAUCUGUGACAGAUGCAAUAAUAGCCUGGGCACAUUUUUCAGGGAAAGGAAACUCAAGAAAGGGAUUUGGACAGAUUUAGACAAAGUCUUGGCUGCUAUGGAAAUUUCGAUGUGAAAAAG
Cyanistes caeruleus (blue tit) is the source of this 738-nucleotide non-coding RNA. The record is from RefSeq and is a predicted model, not a curated record. NCBI's taxonomy places the organism in Eukaryota, Metazoa, Chordata, Aves, Passeriformes, Paridae.